AACGAACGCUGGCGGCAUGCCUAACACAUGCAAGUCGAACGAGACCUUCGGGUCUAGUGGCGCACGGGUGCGUAACGCGUGGGAACCUGCCCUUAGGUUCGGCAUAACUCCCCGAAAGGGGUGCUAAUACCGGAUAAUAUCUUCGGACCAAAGAUUUAUCGCCUUUGGAUGGGCCCGCGUUGGAUUAGCUAGUUGGUAGGGUAAAAGCCUACCAAGGCGACGAUCCAUAGCUGGUCUGAGAGGAUGAUCAGCCACACUGGGACUGAGACACGGCCCAGACUCCUACGGGAGGCAGCAGUGGGGAAUAUUGGACAAUGGGCGAAAGCCUGAUCCAGCAAUGCCGCGUGAGUGAUGAAGGCAUUAGGGUUGUAAAGCUCUUUUACCCGGGAUGAUAAUGACAGUACCGGGAGAAUAAGCUCCGGCUAACUCCGUG
This 433-nucleotide ribosomal RNA is filed under the name uncultured bacterium. RNAcentral's name for it is "partial 16S ribosomal RNA". It matches the Rfam family "Bacterial small subunit ribosomal RNA", at positions 29 to 507 of the family's 1533-position model. The record is from RNAcentral.